Molecule: long non-coding RNA, 1127 nt
Filed under: Equus caballus (horse)
Lineage: Eukaryota; Metazoa; Chordata; Mammalia; Perissodactyla; Equidae
Description: lncRNA (ENSECAG00000057123.1)
Source: RNAcentral
CAGAGGGCUUCUGAAUUUCAUUAGUUUAUAGUUAGAGGUUGAACUGUGCGUCUGUAAUGCUAAAUUGCUUGUUAUUGUAUGUAUACCUUCCACGUGGUGAGACCAUGUGAAUCCUUCCACUUCAUUUCAGAUGAGAAACUCCACCACAUAGAGUCGGACAGGGACCAGCCCAGUCUCCCAGCAAAGGGUGGUAGAAUUCACAAAGGAAGAAUCUUAUCUUCAACACUGGCUGUAAGGACCUUCCACCUAAAGAGUUAGCUGUCUCCCAGUCGCUCCACCACUCUCUCAGCAAACCAGACUCGACACCUGGAGUCAUCAUUGAUGUGUCCCGUGUGCUCUUCUGGACAUUCUCUGAACCACCACCCUGCAUGACUGCGGACGGCAUGGCAUGAUCCUGUUAGAUGAGGCUAUCAGUGCGUAUGAGCACAGACUUGAGUCCUGGCUCCACUGCUUGCUGGGUCCUUGGAGGGAUUUCACUUCUCUUUGCCUGUUUCCUCAUCUAUAAACUGGGGAUCCUGAGGUCGUUGCCGGGAUUAAAGGAGCCAAUAUCUGCAGAGGUCUCAGAACAGCACCUGAUGUGAUAAAGACCUUAUCCAGUUAAGUGUCUUAGCCAGUUCUCCAGGCUGCUAUCUUCCCAGCAAGCUACAGCACUUACAGCCAUCAUAAUUGCUUCCUUUAAUUCCAAAAAGCACUGCUAAUAAAUACUCUAGUGUUUACGAAAACAUUGCUAGAACCUAGAGUCCAUUGAUGACACCCCCCUCCAGUAAGUCACUUGUAGGACAUCUCUCUGCUCAGCCAUUUGCCUGCUGUUGAGUUGCAGGAGCCAGUUCUUAAACCUCGAAACAGAAGUCCUCUACAGCCUGUCCUCAGUGCCCCCAAGUCAAGCAUUCCAAAAUCUCUCCUUUAGCCCCAGCAAGUAAAAGCCCUGUUGAAAUAAUAAUUUCUACAGAUAUGCUCCCUGCUCACAGCAAGACUAUCUUUUACGUUGUUAUGCAAAGCAACUUAGCAACUCAUCCUGAAGUACUCUGUCCUAAAGCAGGACUUGCUUUUACCUUUGCAUAACUCAAAAGUCACAUUGUAAGUUGCUUUCUUAUAAAUAAAAGAGCAAUCUUCCCUUAAAGAAUUCU